GGGGAUGUAGCUCAGUGGUAGAGUACUUGCCUAGCAUGCAGGAAGCUUUAGGUUUAAUCCCCA
This 63-nucleotide transfer RNA is filed under the name Fukomys damarensis (Damara mole-rat). It matches the Rfam family "tRNA", at positions 1 to 62 of the family's 71-position model. From Rfam's summary of the family: Transfer RNA (tRNA) molecules are approximately 80 nucleotides in length. Their secondary structure includes four short double-helical elements and three loops (D, anti-codon, and T loops). Further hydrogen bonds mediate the characteristic L-shaped molecular structure. tRNAs have two regions of fundamental functional importance: the anti-codon, which is responsible for specific mRNA codon recognition, and the 3' end, to which the tRNAs corresponding amino acid is attached (by aminoacyl-tRNA synthetases). tRNAs cope with the degeneracy of the genetic code in two manners: having more than one tRNA (with a specific anti-codon) for a particular amino acid; and 'wobble' base-pairing, i.e. permitting non-standard base-pairing at the 3rd anti-codon position. Lineage: Eukaryota; Metazoa; Chordata; Mammalia; Rodentia; Bathyergidae. The record is from Rfam by way of RNAcentral.